GUCCAAGGCCAUGCUACCCUGAGCAAGCCCGAUCCCGUCUGCUCUCGGAAGCUAAGCAGGGUCGGGCCUGGUUAGUACUUGGAUGGGAGACCACCUAGGAAGACCAGAGACCAGGUGCUGUAGGCA
Molecule: ribosomal RNA, 126 nt
Filed under: Pteropus alecto (black flying fox)
Lineage: Eukaryota; Metazoa; Chordata; Mammalia; Chiroptera; Pteropodidae
Source: RNAcentral